This 253-nucleotide ribosomal RNA is filed under the name uncultured bacterium. RNAcentral describes it as "partial 16S ribosomal RNA". It matches the Rfam family "Bacterial small subunit ribosomal RNA", at positions 524 to 776 of the family's 1533-position model. The record is from RNAcentral.
UACGUAGGGGGCAAGCGUUGUCCGGAUUUAUUGGGCGUAAAGAGCGUGUAGGCGGCCAGACACGUCUGCUGUGAAAACUCGAGGCUCAACCUCGAGCUGUCGGUGGAAACUGUCUGACUAGAGUCCGGAAGAGGAGAGUGGAAUUCCUGGUGUAGCGGUGAAAUGCGCAGAUAUCAGGAAGAACACCUAUGGCGAAGGCAGCUCUCUGGGACGGUACUGACGCUGAGACGCGAAAGCGUGGGGAGCGAACAGG